RNAcentral lists this ribosomal RNA (141 nucleotides) under Pseudomonas aeruginosa. RNAcentral describes it as "partial 23S ribosomal RNA". It matches the Rfam family "Bacterial large subunit ribosomal RNA", at positions 1 to 140 of the family's 2925-position model. RNAcentral also lists the same sequence under 18 other names. Lineage: Bacteria; Pseudomonadati; Pseudomonadota; Gammaproteobacteria; Pseudomonadales; Pseudomonadaceae. The record is from RNAcentral.
GGUUAAGCGACUAAGCGUACACGGUGGAUGCCCUGGCAGUCAGAGGCGAUGAAGGACGUGCUAAUCUGCGAUAAGCGUCGGUAAGGUGAUAUGAACCGUUAUAACCGGCGAUUUCCGAAUGGGGAAACCCAGUGUGUUUCG